This 3428-nucleotide long non-coding RNA is filed under the name Capsella rubella. RNAcentral's name for it is "long non-coding RNA (CRUB_LNC003611)". Lineage: Eukaryota; Viridiplantae; Streptophyta; Magnoliopsida; Brassicales; Brassicaceae. The record is from RNAcentral.
AACAACUGAAAUGUGAUAACAGUUGAUUAGACUCGACUCCAACAUGCAAACAUAUAGCUAAGAAAUUACAGAGAUUAACGAUAUGUGUUCUUCUACAACAGAUUCACUUUGCCUUCAAACCUGACAUUGAAGAACUUUGAAGGUCUGGACCUUGGAAAGAUGGACGAGGCAAGCAUCGAUCAGAUUGUAUCCAAUACUUUAGUCUGAAUAGUGGCAAUGAUCCACUCAAAAAAAAAAAAAAAAUUAAAGCAUACGGUUUUGUUUCCUGAUUUGUUCCUAAACUUGUAAUAUUUUCACCUGCAGGCCAAUGACUCUGGCUUGGCUUCAUAUGUUGCUGGUCAAAUUGACCGUACCUUGAGCUGGAAGGUAAGAGAACAUAAAAAAAAUGUUUAGAUAGUACAGCAAAACCGAUUAAUUUGAACAUAAACUUGAUUCAGAUUGCUCUAACUUUCACCUACACAAACAGGAUGUCCAAUGGCUCCAAACAAUCACCAACUUGCCAAUUCUUGUCAAGGGUGUUCUUACAGGAGAAGAUGGUGAGUUACCAUUUUUAUUAACAAAUGUUUUCAACAGUUGAGUUUCAUAGAAAUAUCUGACAAGGUCAACAAUUAUUUAUUUGCCUCGUGCAGCAAGGAUAGCGAUUCAAGCUGGAGCCGCAGGGAUCAUUGUGUCAAACCAUGGAGCUCGCCAGCUUGACUAUGUCCCAGCCACAAUCUCAGCCCUUGAAGAGGUAGAUCAUCCCCAACUACAAGCAUCAAUCAAUAUGUGUUCUCGUGUAAGUGCUUUGUCCAACCAUUUGAGUUCUGUUCUAAUGUGUUCAGGUUGUCAAAGCGACGCAAGGACGAGUCCCUGUCUUCUUGGAUGGUGGUGUUCGACGUGGCACAGAUGUCUUCAAGGCACUUGCACUUGGAGCCUCAGGGAUAUUUGUAAGCAUCAUAUUUCUAUUCACCAGAAAGAAAACUUGAAACCAUUUACAGUAACAACACAGUAUUUCUAAUACUCUCAAUCUCACAGAUUGGAAGACCAGUGGUAUUCGCACUAGCUGCUGAAGGAGAAGCUGGAGUCAGAAAGGUGCUUCAAAUGUUACGUGAUGAGUUCGAGCUAACCAUGGCACUAAGUGGGUGCCGGUCACUGAGUGAAAUCACCCGCAACCACAUUGUCACUGAAUGGGAUACUCCACGGCAUUUGCCAAAGUUAUAGAGAAAAAAAAAAAACAAAAAAAAAACAACAACAACACAGAGCAUGUAAUGCCUAAACCUAUUCAUAUUUUGAUUGAUCGAUCACAUGGCUUUUACUCUGUUUUUUUUCUUUCUUUCAUAAUAUAUCUCAAGACUUGUUUUUCCCUGUAUUGAAACACAAACAAUGGCUAUUCUCUGUAAUGCUAUUUGGCGACUUCUACCUUCUGUUCAUUCUUCUUGUUUGUACAAUAUAUUUCUAGGCUACUCAUGUGUUCUAUAAUCUGAUUGACACUAGCACAGUCCUAUUUUACAUUAUUGCACAUAAAUCUGUGACACAAACUAACAGCAGCCAGAACCUUACGUAAGGUUGCAAUCUAACAAUACGAUGCGGUAACACAGAUCAAGAAAAAGAUAAGUUUAAACCAUUCAAACUAAACCUCAUUGAAGAAGAUUUGCCUUAGCUCCUCUCUGUUAUUUUCCCUUCUUUCUUCAGUUCUUGUUUCUCAACGACUGCGCUGGGCUCUGUCUCGCAUAGUAAAGCCCAAUAGAAUUUGGCUCGCUCUUGGAUUUAUAUUGCACUUUCAGAAAGACAGGAAAACAAAUUAUUAAUAUUUCGUGGAGAUUAAGAACACGAUAAUAUGAAAGAAAAAUAUGACACACACAUUCCAUCUGAUCUUUUGUCUUUAUCUCCUCCUCCAUUCUUCACCUCCAGCUUCUCAUCCAUAUUAGUUUUUUUCUAUUGCCAACAUUUUUUUUUUCAACUGUUACAGAAAUAAUUAUUUACGAGCCAAUCAAUCCAUCACAAAUAUUAUACAUAUUUAACCCAAAAAAAUAAAAUAUAUUAAACGUUAAGAUAUAUAUUACAAGCUCCGGUUACCACUCGCACUCUUCAUCUCUCCCUAGAGCUCCAUUCCAAUCAAGGUGAGUGGAAUUCUCUGUUUAUACUAAACAGUUCAUGGACAUGUUUUCUCUCUAAACGUAGCUAUGACUAUGUCUGAAUUUCACAAAAGACAGCUAACUCAUGUCUUCUUUUGCUCUUUUUGACAGACCAACGUCCGAAAAUGGAGAUCACAAACGUUACCGAGUAUGACGCCAUCGCCAAGCAGAAGUUGCCUAAGAUGGUUUACGACUACUAUGCGUCUGGUGCAGAGGACCAGUGGACUCUUCAAGAGAACAGAAACGCUUUUGGAAGGAUCCUGUGAGUGUUUCUUUUCUUUUCUUACGACAUGAAAUCUCUUGUUUAUGAUUGGCUUUUACAAGAGAUGUGAUGCAUACCUUGGGCUGUUUAAUAGCUUCCGCCCACGGAUUUUGAUUGAUGUGAACAAGAUUGACAUGGCAACCACUGUCUUGGGGUUCAAAAUCUCGAUGCCGAUCAUGGUUGCUCCUACUGCCAUGCAAAAGAUGGCUCACCCUGAUGGUAAAUACUAAGUUAUGUAGAGACCGCAGAGUGAACUUGUUUAGAGACAAAGACUAAAGUCGCUCUAACUACUCUGUUUGGUUACUAAUGCAGGAGAAUAUGCUACCGCUAGAGCUGCAUCUGCAGCUGGAACUAUCAUGGUAUACUAUAUCAUUAAUUCAUUACCUAAUAUUUCCUCCAAAGCAAAAUUCUUAACCUUUUCUGUGUUUGGAGAUUUUAAAUCCGCGACGCAUACCCAUGUCUCUGGUUUGAGUUAUUUUCUUCCAUGAUUUAUCAGACACUAUCUUCAUGGGCUACUUCCAGUGUUGAAGAAGUUGCUUCCACAGGGCCAGGGAUCCGUUUCUUUCAGCUCUAUGUAAGUCAUCUCGAGAGCUUGUUGUACAUACUGAAAACCCUGGUCACACAUGAUGGUUCACACAUUAUGAUUGUUGAAUAGGUAUACAAGAACAGGAAUGUGGUUGAGCAGCUGGUGAGAAGAGCUGAGAGGGCUGGGUUUAAAGCCAUUGCUCUCACUGUGGAUACCCCAAGGCUAGGGCGUAGAGAGUCUGAUAUAAAGAACAGGUAAAGCCAAGUCAGUUGGAAUAUGAUGAGAGUUUACUGGAUUUUAAAAUGCGAACACAUCACUCAAAAGCAUAACGUUCUUCUGCUACAGAUUCACUUUGCCUCCUAACCUGACAUUGAAGAACUUUGAAGGUCUUGACCUCGGAAAGAUGGAUGAGGUAAGCAUUCAUUAGAUAUUAUCCAGCCUUAUAUCCUGAAUAUGAUGCUCACUAAGCAGCAUUAAAGCAGAGUUGUUAUGUUUAUUCCUGAGUUCCUGAGCUAGUUAUGUUUCC